GUGCCAGCAGCCGCGGUAAUACGUAGGGUGCAAGCGUUGUCCGGAAUUACUGGGCGUAAAGAGCUCGUAGGUGGUUUGUCACGUCGUCUGUGAAAUUCCACAGCUUAACUGUGGGCGUGCAGGCGAUACGGGCUGACUUGAGUACUGUAGGGGUAACUGGAAUUCCUGGUGUAGCGGUGAAAUGCGCAGAUAUCAGGAGGAACACCGAUGGCGAAGGCAGGUUACUGGGCAGUCACUGACGCUGAGGAGCGAAAGCAUGGGUAGCAAACAGGAUUAGAUACCCUGGNUAGUCAAGGGCGAAUUCGUU
This 307-nucleotide ribosomal RNA is filed under the name uncultured Actinomycetales bacterium. RNAcentral's name for it is "bacterial SSU rRNA". It matches the Rfam family "Bacterial small subunit ribosomal RNA", at positions 505 to 810 of the family's 1533-position model. Lineage: Bacteria; Bacillati; Actinomycetota; Actinomycetes; Actinomycetales. The record is from RNAcentral.